AUAGGUUUACUGGAUCUUCAGAUUAGCUACUGACAAGCAGCCCCAAAGAAGAAAGACACACUAAGGAGGUUCCUAAUGCUGGGUUGAUUCUAUGUACAUGAAGUUAUUGUGAAUCCAUCAUUUGCCAUGUAACUUCAUGUUUCAUUGAACCUUGGAUUUGUUUCAUAUUCCAUGUUUGCACAUUGUUCUUCUAAAUGUCUUGACUUAUACCUUUAUGCUUAGCCUCUUGUGUUGGUUGAUGGGUUUCAUGUUCCUCCUCCUAUUAGCCAGCCAAGCCAAGGGACAUUUGUUGGAUAUGCAUCUUACCAUUCAUGUUU
Molecule: long non-coding RNA, 317 nt
Organism: Hibiscus syriacus
Lineage: Eukaryota; Viridiplantae; Streptophyta; Magnoliopsida; Malvales; Malvaceae
Exons: 2
Source: RefSeq, a predicted model, not a curated record